Molecule: long non-coding RNA, 3790 nt
Organism: Gorilla gorilla gorilla (western lowland gorilla)
Lineage: Eukaryota; Metazoa; Chordata; Mammalia; Primates; Hominidae
Exons: 3
Source: RefSeq, a predicted model, not a curated record
GAGUUUUGCUCUUGUCACCCAAGCUGGAGUGCAAUGGCACGAUCUUGGCUCACUGCAACCUCUACCCCCUGGGUUCAAGCGAUUCUCCUGCCUCAGCCUCCUGAGUAGCUGGGAUUAUAGGUGCGCACCACCACACCCGGCUAAAUUUUUGUAUUUUUAGUAGAGAUGGGGUUUCACCAUGUUGGCCAGGCUGGUCUUGAACUCCUGACCUGUGAUCAACCCAACUCAGCCUCCCAAAGUGCUGGGAUUACAGGCGUGAGCCACCGCAACUGGCCCAAAAAUCUUUACUUAAAUUUUGCAUUCUACGUGGGUUUUCCUUUUCUUUUUUUCUGGUUCAAAAUAAAAGCAAGACUUGAGUGACUUCAAGUUUGGGUGAAGCGCUCAUUCCAUCGGACCUUCUGGGAAGUUAGAAAAAAAUUCUGCUCGUGGCUUGAAAGUCUCCUUGCAUCGGUUCCAUUUGGCCUUUGAACUAUAAGCUCACCCUGAGAGCUCUCUUUCUGCUGCUCUUUAAUACGCAAGUAUUACAACAUGCCUUUAUUUCUUCCAUGCAAUGGACUGCCCCAGGACAACUGCUUAAUAAAGGAACAAAUAAGAAAGCCCUGAAAACACUGUCUGCCAAGAGGGAUGUUUGAUUUGGGGGUUCACUUAUUCCCUUUGGUACACACAGUCAAAUCCAAAGCAUCCUUUGUUCUGGGCAGAAGUUCUUCAGGGAGUUAUGAGCCCAGUCCCCUGGGUGUAUGUGACAAACCACAGAGGCCCAAUGUUCAGAAAACAAAAUGUCCUGGUGAGGCGACACUGGCUAACUCUAUGUCUGCCUGAAAACUCACUUUGGAGAACUGUGACAGCUGACCCUUGAGGAACCUUGAGGGCAUCUGGUCCAAUCCCUUCAUUUUGGGGCUGAGGAAACAGACUCUGAUGCAUUAAGAUCCCUGUUCAAGGUCACUCAGCAAAUUACUGCAGUGUGAGAAGGAGGCCUCACGAUUGCCUCUUUCCUUGCAACCAAGCUGGUAUUGCCAACCUUCUUCCAAUGAUGUUUGCAAAAGACAUGUGUGUCUACUUUCCUGCUUUGGUAGGUUAAGAACAGCAAGACAAUUUUUUCUUUGUUGUAUUGAAUCUUACGUUGUCUGAAGGUCUUUAAGAUGACAAGUGUUUUUAAUUUUUUUUUAAAAAAAGGGACUGAGCAGUUGUUGACUCUGGUUGAAAGACAUAUAAUUUGAUUAUAUUACGAUUAGUAGUAGUAUAAAAAAUUAGCCUAUAAUUGUAAUUUUCUGAAGCUUGGAAUCGAAGAGUUACAAACAGAACUCGGGAUGUACACUGAAUAUACUAUACCCUGGCAUUUUCAAAGAUUUUUAAAACUGUUGUUAUUUAUUUAAACUCCAUUUCCAACAUUAGCCUGUUCUUUUCAUUUGGUGCCACAAAGAAAUCUAGCGAGGUCAAGUAUGUGGUUGGUCAGGUUCUAGAUAAUUGAGGUCUCACUGCAAGUUCUACCACAGUGACCAUGUGCUCUGCCUGUAGCUGAGUUUCCUGAGUGUUCUCAACAAGUUCUGUAAGUGUGCUAAGCAUGUUUUUGAAUGUUCCAGUUUAGAUUGGACAUGAAGAGCUGAAAACAGGAUUUCAUAACCCUUGAUACCAGUCACUAAAACAUUUCCACCAAGAACAACUCAAUUUUCAUCUGAACUUAUAAAUGGACAAUAUCUAGUGCUUUGGGCAUGAAUGCUGCCAGUCUAGGGGGAAACCAAAUAAAAUGCCAGGCUGCAGCCCCCUAUGCCAUCCUCCAGCCCAGCGGCUGGCCUCUUCUUCACUUCUCCCCCAUUAUAUUUAGUCCUCUCUUUCCCUCUGCUAGUUCUCCAGAGCAGCCGGCUCAGGUCCAUGACAAGUGCCCCAGGCAGAUGGGACAACCUGGGCAGGAGCCACAGAGGUUGCAGAAGGCUCCUGGGCAGAUCCUUGGAGGAGAAAGCCAGGGAACACCUUGCCUUAUCCUUGGGAGGGCUGGACUCCACUGGAAACACACAAAGAUCGCCUAGACCUUGGGCCAUCCCACCUCCCAAGGGCCAUGGGUGGGCACAGAAUGUGUACUUUCUGGAAAAGAAGAAGGUUGGUUACUGGAGAAAGUUCAGCCUGAUGAUAAUUAUCUGUAAAGCACGCAGACACCGAGAACUUUUCAACAUCGGGCUAUGGAUUUGGCGAGGCCCAGAGUUUCUCAACGUUGGCACUACUGAUGUUUUGGGCUAAUCUUUGUUGGGGCUGGGGGGCUGUCCUGUGUAGAGACAUAUAUAGAAUGCUUAACAGCAUGUCUGGCUCCCUCACACUGGAUGCCGGUAGCACACCCACCUGCAGCUGUGACAACUGAAAAAAAAUACCUCUAAACAUUGCCAAAUGUCCCCUGGGGGGCAAAUCUGCUCUCUUCCCUCCCCUUGAGAUCCCCCUGGGCUAAGGAAAUGCUCUGAGAUGAGCAAGAUGCGGGAAAACAGAAGGAAUUCCCCCUGCCCGCCCCCCAAGACAGAGUUUUGCUCUUGUUGCCCAGGCUGGAGUACAGUGGCGUGAUCUUGGCUCACUGCAACCUCCAGUUCAGGUGAUUCUCCUGCCUCAGCCUCCUGCGUAGCUGGGAUUACAGCCAUGCACCACCACGCCUGGCUAAUUUUUGCAUUUUUAGUAGAGACGGGGUUUCACCAUAUUGGCCAGGCUGGUCUCAAACGCCUGACCUCAGGUGAUCCACCUGCCCCAGCCUCCCAAAGUGCUUGGAUUACAGGCGUGAGCCACUGUGCCUGGCCAAACAGAAGCAAUUUACACCUCAGAGCAAGCGUUUACCCAGCACUUCUCACUCAGUAACUCAUUGGAUAAAGGGAUCCUGCAGGCUGAGUAUCUCAUCACUCCCAUUUUACAGAUGAAAAAUUUUUGAUGCUGAGUGACUUGCCCAAAGUCACCCAGCAAGGAACAGUGCCUGGGCUUGAACCUAGAUGUUACACUCCAAACUCAGUUCUCUAUGACUACAAAGCACACUGGGUUUAAAUCAGCAGAGAUUCUCUUUUGGCUGUGGUGAGAGCCCCUCCCUUCCCCCAUGCAAAGACGACGGUUAAAUAUUGAAGGAGGAGGAGGAGGAGAGUGUUUAGGGCUUUUCUAUUUAAUAGCUUUGGUCUUCACAAACUUUUUUCUCCAAGCACCAAGUUGAUGGGGAUUGCUUUUUCUUGAGUGUCAGCAGGAUCAUAGAACUUUCAAGUCACAAAUAAAAGAUGCUACAAAGAUCUGGAUUGGUCUGUGACUACUGGAAGAAAAGGGAAAAGUUGCCAGGCUUCACAGAAUCUUCUGGGUGGCCAUUUCACUCUGCUGAAAAUUAGGCCUGACAAUGGUUUAUGUUUUUUUAAGAGAUCACUCAUGGUUCCAUUCAGCAUGCUCACAGCCCUUGGCAACGUUCUGAUGGGCUUAAGGCAACAGCGGACUUCACCUCAGCUUUCAUUAAAAUCCCUCACCCCCAAAGCUGACCUCCAACAAUACAGGAAGCUUGAAAUGGAGUCAGUCACAAAGCCAGGCACCUAGGGCCCUGGAGAAAACCUGAAUCAUAAUACAGCAGCAGAGCAAAUAAGUAAUCAAAAUGUGGACUACCAACAAAAAUUCCUCUUCCCUACUGUACAUGGAGCAACAAACAGAAAGGAUGAGAGAGAAAACUUCAGAACUUUGACUCUUUCUGCAGGAAUCAUGACCCCAAAACUAUGGCCCCAAAUAGAAAACUCAGCUGUCGGUGUAACUGAACAAAGAAGCUAACACCACAAUAAAGGGCAGGAGCUUCCAUCAA